GAAAAGGGGGGGGGAAUACACAUGCAAGUCGAACGGUAACAGGGAGCAGCUUGCUGCUUCGCUGACGAGUGGCGGACGGGUGAGUAAUGUCUGGGAAACUGCCUGAUGGAGGGGGAUAACUACUGGAAACGGUAGCUAAUACCGCAUAACGUCUUCGGACCAAAGUGGGGGACCUUCGGGCCUCAUGCCAUCAGAUGUGCCCAGAUGGGAUUAGCUAGUAGGUGGGGUAACGGCUCACCUAGGCGACGAUCCCUAGCUGGUCUGAGAGGAUGACCAGCCACACUGGAACUGAGACACGGUCCAGACUCCUACGGGAGGCAGCAGUGGGGAAUAUUGCACAAUGGGCGCAAGCCUGAUGCAGCCAUGCCGCGUGUAUGAAGAAGGCCUUCGGGUUGUAAAGUACUUUCAGCGGGGAGGAAGGUGUUGUGGUUAAUAACCACAGCAAUUGACGUUACCCGCAGAAGAAGCACCGGCUAACUCCGUGCCAGCAGCCGCGGUAAUACGGAGGGUGCAAGCGUUAAUCGGAAUUACUGGGCGUAAAGCGCACGCAGGCGGUCUGUUAAGUCAGAUGUGAAAUCCCCGGGCUCAACCUGGGAACUGCAUUUGAAACUGGCAGGCUUGAGUCUCGUAGAGGGGGGUAGAAUUCCAGGUGUAGCGGUGAAAUGCGUAGAGAUCUGGAGGAAUACCGGUGGCGAAGGCGGCCCCCUGGACGAAGACUGACGCUCAGGUGCGAAAGCGUGGGGAGCAAACAGGAUUAGAUACCUUUGGUAGUCCAAAAA
RNAcentral lists this ribosomal RNA (779 nucleotides) under Cronobacter sakazakii. RNAcentral describes it as "bacterial SSU rRNA". It matches the Rfam family "Bacterial small subunit ribosomal RNA", at positions 35 to 801 of the family's 1533-position model. The record is from RNAcentral. Lineage: Bacteria; Pseudomonadati; Pseudomonadota; Gammaproteobacteria; Enterobacterales; Enterobacteriaceae.